GAUCCUGGCUCAGAAUCAACGCUGGCGGCGUGCCUAACACAUGCAAGUCGAACGCGAAAGUCCCGCAAGGGAUGAGUAGAGUGGCAAACGGGUGAGUAACACGUGGGUGACCUGCCUUCGAGCGGGGGAUAACGUCCCGAAAGGGACGCUAAUACCGCAUAACAUCCUGCCUUUGAAGAGGCGGUGAUCAAAGCUGGGGAUCGCAAGACCUAGCACUUGAAGAGGGGCCCGCGUCCGAUUAGCUAGUUGGUGGGGUAAUGGCUCACCAAGGCAACGAUCGGUAGCCGGCCUGAGAGGGCGGACGGUCACACUGGGACUGAGACACGGCCCAGACUCCUACGGGAGGCAGCAG
RNAcentral lists this ribosomal RNA (352 nucleotides) under uncultured Acidobacteriota bacterium. Its description in RNAcentral is "bacterial SSU rRNA". It matches the Rfam family "Bacterial small subunit ribosomal RNA", at positions 15 to 354 of the family's 1533-position model. Lineage: Bacteria; Pseudomonadati; Acidobacteriota. The record is from RNAcentral.